Molecule: non-coding RNA, 384 nt
Organism: Cricetulus griseus (Chinese hamster)
Lineage: Eukaryota; Metazoa; Chordata; Mammalia; Rodentia; Cricetidae
Source: the annotation of a RefSeq genome assembly
AUGCUUCCAGUCCUCAUCUCGUUCCUGGGGAUGCAUUUUUUCCUGGGAGAUGUCCAAGCACAGUCAGUUACUCAGCGUGAUGCCCAUGUCACUGUCAUCGAAGGAGACUCAGUGGAGCUCAGAUGCAACUAUUCCUAUGGUGGAGUUUCUUACCUCUUUUGGUACAUGCAGCGUCAUGGCCACAACAUCCAGUUUCUCCUCAGGUAUUACUCCGGAGAUCCCGUGGUUCAUGGCUUGAAUGGCUUUGAGGCUGAGUUUAGGAAGAGCGACUCUUCCUUCCACCUGAAGAAAGCCUCUGUGGACCUCAGCGACUCGGCUGUGUACUUUUGUGCUCUGAGUGCACAGUGUCUGGGGCUGCAGGGGGAGCUGAACACAAACCUGUAA